This 22-nucleotide microRNA is filed under the name Picea abies (Norway spruce). RNAcentral's name for it is "pab-miR11412". Lineage: Eukaryota; Viridiplantae; Streptophyta; Pinopsida; Pinales; Pinaceae. The record is from miRBase by way of RNAcentral.
AAGUGGGGGCGCUGGCAGACUG